GUCUGGAUGGUGCAAUGGUUAAUGCAACUGCCUAGUAAGCAGGAGAUCCUGGGUUCAAAUCCCAGUCCAGCACA
This is a non-coding RNA of Schistocerca serialis cubense, 74 nucleotides long. The record is from the annotation of a RefSeq genome assembly. NCBI's taxonomy places the organism in Eukaryota, Metazoa, Arthropoda, Insecta, Orthoptera, Acrididae.